Molecule: ribosomal RNA, 461 nt
Filed under: uncultured bacterium
Lineage: Bacteria
Description: partial 16S ribosomal RNA
Rfam family: Bacterial small subunit ribosomal RNA
Source: RNAcentral
CUACGGGUGGCUGCAGUCGAGAAUCUUCCGCAAUGGACGAAAGUCUGACGGAGCGACGCCGCGUGCGGGAUGAAGGCCUUCGGGUUGUAAACCGCUGUCAGUGGGGAGGAAAUGCAUCAGGGUUCUCCCUGGUGUUUGACCGAUCCGCAGAGGAAGCGCAGGCUAAGUUCGUGCCAGCAGCCGCGGUAACACGAACUGCGCGAACGUUAUUCGGAAUCACUGGGCUUAAAGAGUUCGUAGGCGGCCUUUCAAGUCGGGUGUGAAAUCCCUCGGCUCAACCGAGGAAUUGCGCCUGAUACUGUUGGGCUUGAGGGGGAUAGGGGUGAGCGGAACUGAUGGUGGAGCGGUGAAAUGCGUUGAUAUCAUCAGGAACACCGGUGGCGAAGGCGGCUCACUGGAUCUCUUCUGACGCUGAGGAACGAAAGCUAGGGGAGCGAACGGGAUUAGAUACCCCAGUAGUC